The sequence is a ribosomal RNA, 436 nucleotides long. It matches the Rfam family "Bacterial small subunit ribosomal RNA", at positions 341 to 792 of the family's 1533-position model.
ACGGGAGGCAGCAGUCGGGAAUAUUGCGCAAUGGAGGAAACUCUGACGCAGUGACGCCGCGUGCAGGAAGAAGGUUUUCGGAUUGUAAACUGCUUUAGACAGGGAAGAAGAAGUGACAGUACCUGUAGAAUAAGCUCCGGCUAACUACGUGCCAGCAGCCGCGGUAAUACGUAGGUGGCGAGCGUUAUCCGGAUUUACUGGGUGUAAAGGGCGCGUAGGCGGGGAUGCAAGUCAGAUGUGAAAUCUAUGGGCUUAACCCAUAAACUGCAUUUGAAACUGUAUUUCUUGAGUGCUGGAGAGGUAGAUGGAAUUCCUUGUGUAGCGGUGAAAUGCGUAGAUAUAAGGAAGAACACCAGUGGCGAAGGCGAUCUACUGGACAGUAACUGACGCUGAGGCGCGAAAGCGUGGGGAGCAAACAGGAUUAGAUACCCUGGUA